GAGAGUUCACUCGAGUAUAAGCCAAGGGGGGAGUUUUCAGCACGAAAAAUCGUGCUGAAAAACUCGGCUUAUACUCGAGUAUAUACGGUAAUGCUCUAUUGACCUACCAAUAUAGGACAAUAUCUCCCACUUUAUAUGGGCCAUAUUUUGAUGCAUAUUUGCUGCUGCAUAUUUUUAUACCCAUUGAAGUCAAUAAGUAGCAAAACCAGCUGCGUAUUUUGCUACCCAUUGAUUUCAAUGGGUAGGAAAAUAUGCAGAAGAAAAUACGGCACGUGUGACCCUACCCUAAAACGGGCCAUACACUUUAGUUGACUUUUUACUAAAUAUCAACAGCUACUGUAUUAAUCUUGACCCACACAUACACACUCUGCCAAGUUUGCAUAUGUUUUUAAUGUAGAGAAGGGAGCAAACAGCUGACAGACAUCUAUGAUGGUGGCUUAUAUCCCCAAGGAAAAACAUUCUAUAAUGUAGGGAUAUGUUUCAUGUUCAGAGCAUGUCUCUGUUCAUUCUCGUAAAGUAAACCUAAUAAAAGAGGUAUCAUAUGACCCUAUCUAUGAGCCAGGGCAGAGCAGAUUGGCAUGAUUGGCAUAAGAUGGUACAUUCCCUCUACAAUGGCCAUGUAAUGCUAUCUAGAGUUUUCCUGGAUGGUAACAGCAGCUUACUAAAAUCUUCAUUUCUUAAAGUUUCGGGUAUUCGGUGAAUUUAAAGCAUUCCAAAAAACAACUUAGAGAUGCUUUAUCUAGACGGCAGCAUAGUGUCCCUACUUUAUAAAUUCACAUUUAACAAACUGCAAAAGGACUUUCAUAAACAUAAUAAUCCCGUAUUGUGUAAUCUAGAUCUGCUGUUUCCAGAAGAGUUACAAAACCAAAGGCCGGAAACAAUUAGGUUGCAUUCUCUAGAAGACGGGUUGUCACAAGAGUGCGACUGACUGAUCACUAGAUCAAAUUCCCUUCCCUCCUUUACGUAAAUUGUGAAGAUUUUCUGCAGAAAGUAUGCUGGGAUCCAGGAUCUUAGGAUACUCUUGGAAUAUAGCAUAAGGGGUGUUAGGGAGGAAAUUGAUCUGUGAUCAAAGGAGGGAAAUUAAAUGGUUAAAAGAAAUGAACUCUACAAAAUACUUAAAUGCUUAAAGAUGAUUAUCUGCAGACUUGCCGAGUCCGCUAUAUGUGCUUAAUUUACAGUAACAUAAUAAAAGGAACCGAAUAUAGACACAAAGGCCCAGAUUUAUCAAACUGUGUGAGAGAAAAACUGUAGAAAUGUUUCCACAGCAGCCAAUCACAGCUCAGCUAAUGAGCUGAGGUAAAGUGAAAGCUGAGGUGUGAUUGGUUGCUCUGGGAAAAUCCCUGAGAUAUUUCUCCAUCAAUACUGACUGCUGGGAGGAAAUGCUUUUUCCACCAUCAAAAUGACAGACACCUCAGAAGAAGCUAAUAAACCUUAUUGUAUGUGUGUUGGGAGCCUUGAAGCAUAAUGGUCCUGAGGCUGAAAAUGGAGGAGAAUGGGUUGGGAGGAAAGGUGAAUGGCUGCCAGACAUCUCCAAGCAUCAUUGAUCCCAGGGGAGAAAGAACCUAACAUGGCUUAUUGUUUUACACUAUAACAUUAAAACCAGAUGAAGUGAAUAACUCAUUAUUUUGUGACAAUGGUACCUGUCAGGGGUGGGAUAUAUUAG
Hyla sarda is the source of this 1663-nucleotide long non-coding RNA. RefSeq lists it as uncharacterized. The record is from RefSeq and is a predicted model, not a curated record. The transcript is spliced from 4 exons. NCBI's taxonomy places the organism in Eukaryota, Metazoa, Chordata, Amphibia, Anura, Hylidae.